CGCCUGGGAGCGCCUCUCGCCCCGUCGCGUUUAUCGAGGAGACAGGUGAAAACUGAGGUUUAGAGAGGGUAAAUAACUUGCCCAAAAUCUGGAAAAGUUUGCCAACCCCUGGUCUUACUCCUCAUUAAGGUUUCCCUUCCUCUCCACCAUUCCCAAAUCUGAGUAUUCCAGAAGAGCUACUGUUUUUUUAAUGAUAUGGUAAAUUAAUUUCUAAAGGGAUUAAAAUGAAUACCUACCUGUUGUAAUGAAAAUAAAUGUAUAACAUAAAGCAAUCUGCAAAAUAGUAAGUAUACACUCAAAAUCUGUUAGCCAUUAUUACCAUUGUUAUUAUUUUUAUUUUCAGUCCAACCAACACUGAUACUGCUGAACUCCUUUUUUUUUAUGGAGUUUAUGGCACAUGUUUAAGUUAAUUAAUUAUGUAAGAUACAUAUAUAUAUGUACACAUGGUAAGGUGGAGCGGUUGUGAUAAUACCACAAGCUGCCUGAAGGGGCAGCCCACCCUAGAUCCUUUCCUAACUGAACAAGAUUCCAAAACACCAGUACCUCUGGUAAGUGGAAGGGCCCAGUCCAUCCCCCAGGCUGUGUCCUUGUGCGUCAGUCCUCUUGCUUCCCUCAGGCUCUACUUCUUUUUCCUACAAGCACAGAGAGCAUUGGGAUCAGUCAUGGAGCCCUGCCAGGGAUGAUGGGGAUUGAGAGCAGCCAAAUACCCUACAGGAGCCCAUGCAGCAGCCCACAGCUCUGCAGAGAGAAACUAAACUGGUGAUUACCAUGAGCUCCAGCCCCGGGUUCACUGUGCCAGUCUCCACUGUGGACAGAGCAAUGGACUGUCUUCCACUUGCUUUCUCCAUCUCCUGUUCUCCUCAACUGAAAAACAAAUUCAGGGCCAAGCCUGAAAGAUUGGUCAUUCUGUUCUGUGGGGAUGGGGAGAAUUUUUAGGACCAGUUACCCAUGGAAAACGCAAAACUAAAAGUCUUUGAAGGCUUAGUUGAUUUCUUUAAGAACUGAGAAUUGAGAAGAUUGGAUGUGUAAUUUUUAUAUAAUAAAUAAUGAAAAAUAAAAUCCUAUUUCCUCUUGUGAAUAGCUAAAGAAGAGGCAGUAAGAUAGGAGAAGAGAAAUGAAAGGCAGUGGAAUUGAAAUGAAUCAGUGGGCCGCCCAGGGCCCCAGGAUCUGGGCUAUAAAGGUUCCUACUUGGACCCUCAAAGAAAGAGUCACAGGUUUUAUGUCUUGGGCCCUCCUUCGCUGAGCCUGCCCUCAAUGUAGAGGAGGACUGCACCUCUCAAGUUAAAUAUUAUAUGUUUUUAAGACUGUUUUGCAGGCCUAAGACUUAUGCAGAGGUGGCGCCCGCCCGUAAUCCCAGCACUUCGGGAGGCCGAGACGGGCGGAUCGCUUGAGACCAGCCAGGAUAACAUGGCGAAACCACAUCUCUACAACAAAUACAAAAAUUAGCUGGGCGCGGUGGCACACGACUGUGGUUCCAGUUACUCGGCAGGCGGAGGUGGAAGGAUCCCUUGAGCCUCUGGAGGUGGAGGUUGCAGUGAGCUGUGAUUGCGCCACUGCACUCCAGCCUGGGCGACAGAGUGAGACCCUGUCAGAAAACAAAACAAAACAAAAGAAUUCUGUAAGAACUUCUAACAGGUACAUUCCUGUAAGCAUUACCCACCACUGGACUAGGCACUGGGUAGCCUGUAAAAUACAGUAAGAGCCGUCUCUGCACCCAGAAAAUUUACCAUCAUUUUGUGCUGGAAAGACAUGCCCUAGAAAACAAUAAACAGCACGACUGUACAUGAUUCCAUGCCAAAUGACUGCUAGGAAUUAUUUUAUUAAUCCAUUCAACAAAUACUUAUUGAGUAACCACUAUUAGCCAGCCACCGUUUUCCGUGUGAGGACAUAAAAAUGAGUGAGACAAGGUCUCUGCCAUCAAAAAACGAACAGAUCAGUGAGGAAAGACGGAUGUGUCAAGAAAGGCUUUGCAGGUCGAGCGCGGUGAAUCACGCUUGUAAUCCCAGCACACUGGGAGGCAGAGGCAGGCGGAUCAUUUGAGGUCAGGCGCUCGAGACCACCCUGGCCAACAUGGCGAAACUCCAUCUCUACUAAAAAUACAAAAAUUAUCCGGGCAUGGUGGUGCAGGCUUGUAAUCUCAGCUACUCAGGAGGCUGAGGCAGGAGAAUCAUUUGAACCCAGGAGGCAGAGGUUGCAGUGAGCCAUGAUCAUGCCACUGCACUCCAGCCUGGGUGAGCGAGACUCCAUCUCAAAAAAAAAAAAAAAAAAAAAAAAGAGGGAGAGAAAGACUUUACAGAGCUGGUAACACUUAUCCUGGCCUGGAAAGAAAGAAAGAAAGCUUCCUAUGACGCCCUCUGGAUAAAACUUA
This 2368-nucleotide long non-coding RNA is filed under the name Homo sapiens (human). RNAcentral describes it as "HSALNT0219691". Lineage: Eukaryota; Metazoa; Chordata; Mammalia; Primates; Hominidae. The record is from RNAcentral.